This 424-nucleotide ribosomal RNA is filed under the name uncultured bacterium. Its description in RNAcentral is "partial 16S ribosomal RNA". It matches the Rfam family "Bacterial small subunit ribosomal RNA", at positions 354 to 796 of the family's 1533-position model. The record is from RNAcentral.
GUUAGGAAUAUUGGACAAUGGGCGCAAGCCUGAUCCAGCCAUGCCGCGUGAACGAUGAAGGCCUUCGGGUUGUAAAGUUCUUUAGCCGAUGAUUAUAAUGACUGUAGUCGGAAAAUAAGCCCCGGCUAACUUCGUGCCAGCAGCCGCGGUAAUACGAAGGGGGCGAGCGUUAUUCGGAAUCACUGGGCGUAAAGCGUGCGUAGGCGGUCUCGUAAGUUAGGAGUGAAAGCCCAGGGCUCAACCUUGGAAUUGCUCUUAAAACUGCAAGGCUCGAAUCUCGGAGAGGAUAGCGGAAUUUCCAGUGUAGCAGUGAAAUGCGUAGAUAUUGGAAGGAACACCAGUGGCGUAAGCGGCUAUCUGGACGAGUAUUGACGCUGAGGCACGAAAGCGUGGGGAUCAAACAGGAUUAGAAACCCGAGUGUCC